AGGUUGAUCAUGUUGAGAUAUAUUUGGCUUCCUAUAUGAAGUUAGCAGAAGAAGAUUAAUCUGCAGCAGCGUGAUAAGAGGAAGGAACUAGAUAGACAGCCCAAAGAAGAGAUAUCUAACAGGAGGACAAGUUUAUUCUUUUUCUACACAUUUUAGUGAGAGCGGAUUACCGUCUUAUUUACCACUGAAAUAAACAAUUUGAAGGACUUCUUACCACUAAUAUGACAACUAAGGUCCCGCUUUUGAUACUGGGCCUCUGUCUGAGCCCUGGAGUGCAUGUGCAUGGAGAAGGCAGAGAGGGAUGCAACGGACAAUGUGAAGAUGAAGAUGUAGAUGAGUGUGCCUCUCUGAUUCCGAUCUGUGGUCUGGGUGCCAACUGCACCAACACACCAGGCAGCUACUACUGCACUUGUCAUCCAGGAUACAGAUCCUCAAAGGGGGAGGGGUUUCCAGCAGAUUACUCACAUU
Long non-coding RNA from Clupea harengus (Atlantic herring), 468 nucleotides. RefSeq lists it as uncharacterized. The transcript is spliced from 3 exons. The record is from RefSeq and is a predicted model, not a curated record. Lineage: Eukaryota; Metazoa; Chordata; Actinopteri; Clupeiformes; Clupeidae.